AAAGCGUGCGCAGGCGGUUUUGUAAGUCUGUCGUGAAAUCCCCGGGCUCAACCUGGGAAUUGCGAUGGAGACUGCAAGGCUGGAGUUUGGCAGAGGGGGGUAGAAUUCCACGUGUAGCAGUGAAAUGCGUAGAUAUGUGGAGGAACACCGAUGGCGAAGGCAGCCCCCUGGGUCAAGACUGACGCUCAUGCACGAAAGCGUGGGGAGCAAACAGGAUUAGAUACCCGUGU
Molecule: ribosomal RNA, 230 nt
Filed under: uncultured bacterium
Lineage: Bacteria
Description: partial 16S ribosomal RNA
Rfam family: Bacterial small subunit ribosomal RNA
Source: RNAcentral